This 645-nucleotide ribosomal RNA is filed under the name Thaxterogaster cretax. Its description in RNAcentral is "eukaryotic LSU rRNA". The stretch from base 282 to 435 matches the Rfam family "5.8S ribosomal RNA". Lineage: Eukaryota; Fungi; Basidiomycota; Agaricomycetes; Agaricales; Cortinariaceae. The record is from RNAcentral.
AACAAGGUUUCCGUAGGUGAACCUGCGGAAGGAUCAUUAUUGAAAUAAACCUGAUGAGUUGUUGCUGGCUCUCUAGGGAGCAUGUGCACGCUUGUCAUCUUUAUAUCUCCACCUGUGCACAUUUUGUAGACUUGGAUAACUCUCUGAGUGCUUUUUAGCACUCAGGUUUGAGGAUUGACAUUUAUGUCUCUCCUUACAUUUCCAGGCCUAUGUUUCUUCAUAUACCCCCAAUGUAUGUUAUAGAAUGUAAUCAAUGGGCCUUUGUGCCUAUAAACCUAUACAACUUUCAGCAACGGAUCUCUUGGCUCUCGCAUCGAUGAAGAACGCAGCGAAAUGCGAUAAGUAAUGUGAAUUGCAGAAUUCAGUGAAUCAUCGAAUCUUUGAACGCACCUUGCGCUCCUUGGUAUUCCGAGGAGCAUGCCUGUUUGAGUGUCAUUAAUAUAUCAACCUCUUCAGCGUUUGCUUGUUUGAGUGUUGGAUGUGGGGGUCUUUUUGCUGGCCUCUCUUAUUGAGGUCAGCUCCCCUGAAAUACAUUAGCGGAACAAUUUGUGGACCCGUUCAUUGGUGUGAUAAUUAUCUACGCUACUGACGUGAAGCAAGUUCAGCUUCUAACAGUCCAUUGACUUGGACAAUUUUUUCAUUAAU